GAGAAUUUAGUUAAUUUAUAGCACUACUUCGUCAAGGUAGAGUAAUGGGUUAAAUCCCCAUACUUCUCU
RNAcentral lists this transfer RNA (69 nucleotides) under Anomaloglossus baeobatrachus. RNAcentral's name for it is "tRNA-Asp". It matches the Rfam family "tRNA". From Rfam's summary of the family: Transfer RNA (tRNA) molecules are approximately 80 nucleotides in length. Lineage: Eukaryota; Metazoa; Chordata; Amphibia; Anura; Aromobatidae. The record is from RNAcentral.